UGAGGAAUUUUGCGCAAUGGGGGAAACCCUGACGCAGCGACGCCGCGUGGAGGACGAAGGCCUUCGGGUCGUAAACUCCUGUCAGAGGUGAAGAAACCCGCAAGGGUUGACGGUAACCUCAAAGGAAGCCCCGGCUAACUACGUGCCAGCAGCCGCGGUAAUACGUAGGGGGCAAACGUUGCUCGGAAUUACUGGGCGUAAAGGGUGCGUAGGCGGCUGGGCAAGUCAAGGAUGAAAUCCCGUGGCUUAACUGCGGAACUGUCCUUGAAACUGCCUAGCUUGAGGAUAGUCGAAGAAAACGGAAUUCCCGGUGGAGCGGUGAAAUGCGUAGAUAUCGGGAGGAACACCAGAGGCGAAAGCGGUUUUCUAUACUACUCCUGACGCUGAGGCACGAAAGCUAGGGGAGCAAACGGG
This 414-nucleotide ribosomal RNA is filed under the name uncultured bacterium. Its description in RNAcentral is "bacterial SSU rRNA". It matches the Rfam family "Bacterial small subunit ribosomal RNA", at positions 355 to 776 of the family's 1533-position model. The record is from RNAcentral.